CAUAAACGUGACACGUUGUUCUCUAUCGUUCUUCUUCCUCCUGUUUUUGGUCCCUUGGCUAGUUACCGGUGGACGAUGAAUCUCCCCAUUUUUCUGGAACGGUUUGCUACUAAAUAAGCUCAUCAAGCUGAUCCAGUACUGACCGUACGAUGGCGUCGCCGUGCAGAGAUCGGAUGGCGGAGUUCCGGUCACUGUCUCAGACGUUGAAGAAGAUCGGAUCAAUCUCGUCCGUCCAUCGAGCCGACAAUGACCCCGCAUCCUCCAAACAUGGCUCUUCGCGAUCCCAAUUCAACAGGAAGGCUUCUCGGAUCGGAUUAAGUAUCCACGAAGUGUUUCAGAAGAUCGCCAGGCUCGCCAAAUGAAUUAACUGCAUUGGUAAGGAACGAUGUUACGGGACUGAAUAUGGCACUAUCUGAUCUGCAAACCCUUCAAAACAUGGAGAUUGCUGAUGGGAACUAUUCCGAAGACAUAGUUGGUCAUUCCACUGUUGUUUGCAAUGACUUGAAAACCAGACUUAUGGGUACUACAAAGCAGCUUCAAGAUGUAUUAACUACGAGAUCUGAGGUCGGUCUUGUAAAUUGUCAACUUAGUAUUGAUUGAUUGUCUGUCUUCUACAUCAUCUUAUUCAGAUUGUCUAUGGUCCUGCAUAACAUCAAAGCUCAUGAAAAUCGGAAACAAAUGUUUUCUACAAAAAAUGCAUCCAAAGAUAGUCAUCCUCAGCACGAUAUAAAAACUUUGCCUGAGCCUCCUCCAUGGUCAAGUCCAUCAAAUCCAUCUGAUGUUCUGCAACAGUCAGUGGCAGGAAAUCUGACUAGGCUUCUCUUCCAUAUACUACCAGAUUACUGUCACAUAAUGGAGCUCUUAUCAACCAGCUGAGAUGAAGACCCGCC
Molecule: long non-coding RNA, 890 nt
Organism: Tarenaya hassleriana
Lineage: Eukaryota; Viridiplantae; Streptophyta; Magnoliopsida; Brassicales; Cleomaceae
Exons: 4
Source: RefSeq, a predicted model, not a curated record